AAAAUAAACGUUACUUUGAAAGAGGUGUGCCUCACCUCGGCGAGAGCCCUUCACGCCUUUAGGCUUCUUUAAUGGCACUUUUAGGGGAAUUUUUCUGUGUGGAGCACAAUUAUUCACUUUUGCAAUCCAUUGUGUAGUAAUUUUUUCUACAUACACUGACUUACAUUUCACUUGGUACAAUCACUUUUCCGAAGUGUGCUUGUGGAGUUGUUUGGUAUUGAUUAAUGUGCUGAAUGAUUUUUUUUUCUUUAAUAGGUUUCAAGAUUUUAUUAAUAAAAUCUUAUAAAAGCUGAGGUAAUCCUGAGUGUAUAAAUAGUUUAUUUAUUCAGGGGGAACCAAAAACCCUAGUUAAAAGAAAGAAGAUCCUUGAUACUAUCUGGUUUAUAAGAACUGAAUUCUUUUAUUGAGCUGAGGGGACCAGUGUCAUGACAUAAACUGUGUCGAGUACAAAGUGCUGGGUUGAGUGGGAGAAGCUAAUUCCAUUCAACCAUGUCAAGGACUCUUUCUUUUUCUUCUGCACUUGGUUGCAUAGUUUUCUUAAGUUCUUGUUAUGUAUUUGUUGUUGUCCAUUCAUGAAACAACUAGGCCUAGCGGAUUCUGCAUGAUUUUAUUUUUUUCAAAUCUUAUAUGACUGCGGUUCCCAUAUAUUUAUGUUUUCAAUUGCAGCAUUUGCUCCAAUGAAUAGGGG
This 688-nucleotide unclassified non-coding RNA is filed under the name Hevea brasiliensis (rubber tree). The record is from RNAcentral. Lineage: Eukaryota; Viridiplantae; Streptophyta; Magnoliopsida; Malpighiales; Euphorbiaceae.